CAGUCGCCGCGGUAAUACGUAGGGUGCGAGCGUUAAUCGGAAUUACUGGGCGUAAAGCGUGCGCAGGCGGUUUUGUAAGACAGGCGUGAAAUCCCCGGGCUCAACCUGGGAAUGGCGCUUGUGACUGCAAAGCUAGAGUGCGGCAGAGGGGGAUGGAAUUCCGCGUGUAGCAGUGAAAUGCGUAGAUAUGCGGAGGAACACCGAUGGCGAAGGCAAUCCCCUGGGCCUGCACUGACGCUCAUGCUCGAAAGCGUGGGGAGCAAACAGGAUUAGAUACCCCCGUAGUCCCUGUCUCUUAUAC
This 301-nucleotide ribosomal RNA is filed under the name uncultured bacterium. RNAcentral describes it as "partial 16S ribosomal RNA". It matches the Rfam family "Bacterial small subunit ribosomal RNA", at positions 509 to 807 of the family's 1533-position model. The record is from RNAcentral.